This is a long non-coding RNA of Ricinus communis (castor bean), 1276 nucleotides long. RefSeq lists it as uncharacterized. NCBI's taxonomy places the organism in Eukaryota, Viridiplantae, Streptophyta, Magnoliopsida, Malpighiales, Euphorbiaceae. The record is from RefSeq and is a predicted model, not a curated record. The transcript has 2 exons.
GUUAUUGAUUGCCUAAAUUUUUUUGACUAGCCUUGGUAUAUGUUUCUAGUUAUAUACCGACAUAAAUAAUAUAUAUUUAUUAAUUUAAAUGAUAAAAUAUAUGUUAAUUAUAUAAUACCAAAAUAUUUAUACAUACGUGUCCUAUUAGUCAUGGUCUAUUAAACAAGCCUAGGUAAAAAUCUCUAUCCUCGUCUAUCAGCUGAUAUCAGUAGUUAGGUAGGUGAUUGACAUUAAUAUUUUAUAAUAAUUAUAUUUGUUAUGAUGAAUGGGAUUGAACAUGAAAAAUCUUUUCUUUCGGUACUCUUCUAUGGAACAUAUGCAUGACGUGGUUGCUGGUGGAAAAGAUAAGAGUUAAGAUCAUGAAUUCAUCAGGUCAGGUGAUAAGCUUGUGUCUUAAAAAAUUAACGUGUCAUUGUUUGAUUUGCUUUUGGUAUCGAUUCCCACAUGCUUAACCUUCUCCAUCACGUGGUCUUUCUUUUAACUCUUUAUGCUUGUCUUUUUUUUUUUUUUUUUCAUCCACAGCCUUUCCCUUUCUGGAAAUGACAGCAUGCACAGUUUUUACUCCUCUUCUCCUUUCUCUUUUCCUUCUCUGCAGCUGCAAUGAAAAUUCGUCCGCAUAUUUACUUAUGUUAUAUAUAUAUAUAAAAGCGUGGCUCUGGCUUUUCUCGAACAUGAACAUGAGUCCCCUCUCCACUCUCUCUUCUAUGUGCAUGCAGGGUUUCUAGUAUAAGGAUAUAUGGUUAGUGUGUAUAUAUAUAGCCAAGGCGUGUUCAUUUAUCUGCAUUUGCACCUGCACUUUUUCAAUCACAAGUCCUUAUGGGAUUGAUAGAGGUGCAGGUGCUUUGUGCAGAUAACUGCCACCUUGGUUCAGCUCUCUUCCCAUUUGCACUUGCUGCUUCCACCCUGAAACCACUAAGUUGAUAACAUCACAAGUAAUUAAUUGGAUCAUAAUACAUUAUACCAAGUUCAGCUCCAAAUUCUACAGGGUUCGCAAAGCACUGAAGAGACCAAGACAUAUAUGUGUGUGUAUGUGGCUUUGUUUUGAAAAUGGUAAUUUGCUUGAUAUAUAAGAUGGUUCUACCUUUCCCAAACAAGAAGAGGACAUAUGCUUAUUACCAGUAGGAGUCGGAUCCAUUUUGGUUGUUUUGAUGCUUCUUCAUUUCAGAAAUAUGAGUAAAGUUUUACCCUUUCGGCUUUUAAAUCAGAAUGUUUCUUAGAAGGGGACUUCCAUUAAUCCUCAAAACUUGGAUAUUAAUCAAGUUAAUUUUCAUCGCAA